This 2512-nucleotide long non-coding RNA is filed under the name Setaria italica (foxtail millet). RNAcentral's name for it is "long non-coding RNA (SITA_LNC005225)". Lineage: Eukaryota; Viridiplantae; Streptophyta; Magnoliopsida; Poales; Poaceae. The record is from RNAcentral.
UACAAGUGACAUUCGAGCUCCAUGAAACAGUAUAUGAGGAGUGCAGUAGUUUACAGAGACAGAAAACCAACCUCCAAAAGAAGCAGGUCUACUCUGCUGGCAUAUCCGAUUAUCCACCAUGAGUGAAAAGCAAGUUCGAAGCAAACAGUCACCACUCACCACCAGCAUCACUCUCUGUGAAGCAAAAAGAAAGAUCAGUUUGUCAGUGCACUACAAUCAGUGAACUUCUCAUGGUAGAUGAAUGUAGCUUUUACCAUUCAAUUGGCUACCAUCAAGUUCAAAUAUAUAAAUAUUAUGACAUGCAGUCAUCACUAGCUCUUCUUUCCUGUGCUGCACAUGCAAGGAGCAUCAUGCCUAUCAUGGCUGCUCUUUGUCCCACAUAUCCAAGAAUCCAGGAACUAUUUGACAGAUCCACCCUUCCUGGAUCACAUCACCCCGAUCAGCUCUUCCCUUGCACAGUUGUAACCAAACAUACGCCUGACAAUCGAAACCGUCCAUCCAACAGACAGUCAGACACUGUGAUACUAGCAUAGCAGAGGACCUGAAAAUCGAACCUGUUAUGAUCCACAUACCUGUAGUUAGCUGUGCAAAAGAAUCAAAUAAGUGUGCUCAAGGAGGGAUCUAUACGACAAAAUGACACACAAGAUGGCGAGAUGUGUGUUGAUGUCAUUCUUAGCUUCAUCUGGAUUUUCAUCCCUUGACUCAGAGGACUUGAAAAGAACUCUGAAUGAUACAAGAUGACGUACUCCAUUAAAAGUGUAAUGCGCAAUUUGACUUAGUACGGUUUCCGAAAUUAAAAUUUGACCCAUUAUUUCUCUUAAACUACAAUGUUAGUAGCAAUAAAACCAUAACCACAAGAUGGUGCCUUCAAAAAUGAAUCUAAUGAUGCCACUUCUGUAUAACAAUUUUUGCAUCUCGUAAGGCUAAUUGUUGGUUGAAAAUUACAAUAAUUGGAUCUCUAAAAUGUACACACACCUAAAAAACGGGGGGAGUUCUUGACUAAUAUGUGGCCCCUCUUGCUAUCAUGAGGAAUUGUUUGACCCUACAUUCCCACAAAAUACCACAUGAGCACAUUUAAGAGUUCAGUUAGGGACCAUCUGGGUAGCCUAAAGAAGCCGCAAAAAAAAAUCAUUAUGCGAGCUGGCACCUAUUCCCCCCUUUUUUUUGUUCGAUAAGAAAAUUAUUGUAUUUGGAUGUCAACACACUACAACAGAUGCACAGCAUGAACAAGGGCAAGUUGAAAUGAGUACAGUUCUGCAAGAUGAUUGCCACAGCAAUGAAUCCCGACACCGAACUUGUUGAAUUGUAGAUGCUAACCUAACUCUCCUGCUGUUAUCUCACAAUAAAGGAGACAAGUUGGAAACAACAGAGUAACAUAUUGCAUAUUUACGUGUUGUCUGUAAUGACCAGAUUUCCACUUUUUUUUCUGACAGAUUAUAUCUGAGUUAAUUCUACCCUUAGCAAUCAUAUAACAUAGUAUAAGACAACACUGUGAAAUAGGUAUAAAUAUGCAACUUUUUAUCUAUUGUACUAAUCAAAUACUCCAUGAGGAGAGUAGACCAACCAUGAGAAUCAAAUAACAUAUUCGCAUCGAUGUAACUAGGCUAGUGUUUGUUAAACUGCUAACUAUUGUGUGCUAGCAGCCUACCACCUCGUUCUGAUCAAUGAGAUCCACAGCAGAAGUGACAAAAUAUCAGCUAGUACAAAGCUACCCACCAAAAGAAUGCCAGAGCCAUUGAUACUGCAGUUUGCAUCGACCUAAAACAUUGGGUAUUACCAAACGAACAAUAUAUCAAUCUUAUUUUGUAACAAUAAGAACUUCCCACAACACGAGCACAGACCCGACAUAGCAAUCUUGUUAGUCCUAAACCAGCAUAUAACACAGAGUUUCUAGUACAGCAGGCCCAAGAACCAUCCAUGUGCCCACUGCCCACAAUUCUAACUCGCCACAGGCCGACCGAGCACGAAGUCAGCACAUGAAAGAAAAGGCUCGCCACGGGACCAGAGGAGCCUCUGGCUGGGGGCGCGCGCAAGCAGCCAGGGUAGACGCAGGCAGAAAUCUGCAUCGGCUGCGAAACCCACCUGAUUACCUGUUUGAACGAAACGAUCCCGGCCACCGCUUCGUCCCCACACCGCAAACACCAUCAUCACCCGGCCGCGGGGCGCGCACAACUUGAGGCAACGGAACAAAUUAAAGACGGCGGGAGGAGGGAGCAUCAUUUAUUCUUCUGAAUCCCUUGCUCCUCCGCGGAGUCGUCCGGCGCGGCGGCAUCCGAGAAGCGAUUAUUCUACUUCAUAUCGCCGACAGGAUCGCAUCUGGUAAUUGGAUGAAGCUAGAUGUGGGGUGGAACCGUGGAAGCAAGGGUUGUGGGAGAAACUGAGAAUGGGCGGUCCGUGAGCAGGUGCUGAGGCGCGGGGGCAGGAGCGUACCGGGCAGGCAGGUCGGGCACUCCGGCUCGUCGCAGGGAUCGGGCGGGGGCAAAAGGCGAUCGUCGUCGCCGAGGAGUCCGAG